Molecule: ribosomal RNA, 466 nt
Filed under: uncultured bacterium
Lineage: Bacteria
Description: bacterial SSU rRNA
Rfam family: Bacterial small subunit ribosomal RNA
Source: RNAcentral
GACGAACGCUGGCGGCGCGCCUAACACAUGCAAGUCGAACGAGCGAGAGAGAGCUUGCUUUCUCAAGCGAGUGGCGAACGGGUGAGUAACGCGUGAGGAACCUGCCUCAAAGAGGGGGACAACAGUUGGAAACGACUGCUAAUACCGCAUAAGCCCACGGCUCGGCAUCGAGCAGAGGGAAAAGGAGCAAUCCGCUUUGAGAUGGCCUCGCGUCCGAUUAGCUAGUUGGUGAGGUAACGGCCCACCAAGGCGACGAUCGGUAGCCGGACUGAGAGGUUGAACGGCCACAUUGGGACUGAGACACGGCCCAGACUCCUACGGGAGGCAGCAGUGGGGAAUAUUGCACAAUGGGGGAAACCCUGAUGCAGCGACGCCGCGUGGAGGAAGAAGGUCUUCGGAUUGUAAACUCCUGUUGUUGAGGAAGAUAAUGACGGUACUCAACAAGGAAGUGACGGCUAACUACGUG